This 468-nucleotide ribosomal RNA is filed under the name uncultured bacterium. Its description in RNAcentral is "partial 16S ribosomal RNA". It matches the Rfam family "Bacterial small subunit ribosomal RNA", at positions 28 to 507 of the family's 1533-position model. The record is from RNAcentral.
GACGAACGCUGGCGGCGUGCUUAACACAUGCAAGGCGAACGGAAAGACCCUGCUUUUGUGGGGUGCUCGAGUGGCGAACGGGUGAGUAACACGUGAGUAACCUGCCCUUGACUUUGGGAUAACUUCAGGAAACUGGGGCUAUUACCGGAUAGGAGCUCCUGCUGCAUGGUGGGGGUUGGAAAGUUUCGGCGGUUGGGGAUGGACUCGCGGCUUAUCAGCUUGUUGGUGGGGUAGUGGCUUACCAAGGCUUUGACGGGUAGCCGGCCUGAGAGGGUGACCGGCCACAUUGGGACUGAGAUACGGCCCAGAAUCCUACGGGAGGCAGCAGUGGGGAAUAUUGCACAAUGGGCGGAAGCCUGAUGCAGCAACGCCGCGUGCGGGAUGACGGCCUUCGGGUUGUAAACCGCUUUCGCCUGUGACGAAGCGUGAGUGACGGUAAUGGGUAAAGAAGCACCGGCUAACUACGUG